This 511-nucleotide ribosomal RNA is filed under the name uncultured bacterium. Its description in RNAcentral is "partial 16S ribosomal RNA". It matches the Rfam family "Bacterial small subunit ribosomal RNA", at positions 28 to 523 of the family's 1533-position model. The record is from RNAcentral.
GACGAACGCCGGCGGCGUGCCUAAUACAUGCAAGUAGAACGCUGAAGGAGGAGCUUACUUCUCUGGAUGAGUUGCGAACGGGUGAGUAACGCGUAGGUAACCUGCCUGGUAGCGGGGGAUAACUAUUGGAAACGAUAGCUAAUACCGCAUAAGAGUAGAUGUUGCAUGACAUUCACUUAAAAGGUGCAAUUGCACCACUACCAGAUGGACCUGCGUUGUAUUAGCUAGUUGGUGGGGUAACGGCUUACCAAGGCGACGAUACAUAGCCGACCUGAGAGGGUGAUCGGCCACACUGGGACUGAGACACGGCCCAGACUCCUACGGGAGGCAGCAGUAGGGAAUCUUCGGCAAUGGACGGAAGUCUGACCGAGCAACGCCGCGUGAGCGAAGAAGGUUUUCGGAUCGUAAAGCUCUGUUGUAAGAGAAGAACGAGUGUGAGAGUGGAAAGUUCACACUGUGACGGUAUCUUACCAGAAAGGGACGGCUAACUACGUGCCAGCCGCCGCCGUAA